RNAcentral lists this ribosomal RNA (485 nucleotides) under uncultured bacterium. RNAcentral describes it as "partial 16S ribosomal RNA". It matches the Rfam family "Bacterial small subunit ribosomal RNA", at positions 28 to 507 of the family's 1533-position model. The record is from RNAcentral.
GAUGAACGCUGGCGGCGUGCUUAACACAUGCAAGUCGAACGGGAUCCAAGGGGUGCUUGCACUUUUUGGUGAGAGUGGCGAACGGGUGAGUAACACGUGAGUAACCUGUCCUUUUCUUUGGGAUAAGCAUUCGAAAGGGUGUUUAAUACCUUAUGUUCUGUCUGCCUCGCAUGGGGUGGGUGGGAAAGGCUUUGGCCGGAUUUGGGUGGGCUCGCGGUCUAUCAGCUUGUUGGUGGGGUGAUGGCUUACCAAGGCUUUGACUGGUAGCCGGCCUGAGAGGGGGGUAGGUCACAGUGGGACUGAAGAACGGCCCAGAAUCCUGCGGGAGGCAGCAGUGGGGGAUAGUGCACAAUGGGCGAAAGCCUGAUGCAGCGACGCCGCGUGGGGGAUGAAGGCCUUCGGGUUGUAAACUUCUUUUGCUCUGAACAAGGCAUGCCAGUGGGUGUGUUGAGUGUAGGGGUUGAUUAGCGCCGGCUAACUACGUG